Molecule: ribosomal RNA, 367 nt
Filed under: uncultured organism
Description: bacterial SSU rRNA
Rfam family: Bacterial small subunit ribosomal RNA
Source: RNAcentral
CGGAGGAUCCAAGCGUUAUCCGGAAUCAUUGGGUUUAAAGGGUCCGUAGGCGGGUUUAUAAGUCAGUGGUGAAAGCCCAUCGCUCAACGAUGGAACGGCCAUUGAUACUGUAGGAUCUUGAAUUAUUAGGAAGUAACUAGAAUAUGUAGUGUAGCGGUGAAAUGCUUAGAGAUUACAUGGAAUACCAAUUGCGAAGGCAGGUUACUACUAAUGGAUUGACGCUGAUGGACGAAAGCGUGGGUAGCGAACAGGAUUAGAUACCCUGAUAGUCCACGCCGUAAACGAUGGAUACUAGCUGUUCGGAGCAAUCUGAGUGGCUAAGCGAAAGUGAUAAGUAUCCCACCUGGGGAGUACGUUCGCAAGAAUG